GACGAACGCUGGCGGCGUGCUUAACACAUGCAAGUCGAACGGAAAGGCCCUGCUUUUGUGGGGUGCUCGAGUGGCGAACGGGUGAGUAACACGUGAGUAACCUGCCCUUGACUUUGGGAUAACUUCAGGAAACUGGGGCUAAUACCGGAUAGGAGCUCCGGCGGCAUGGUGGGGGUUGGAAAGGUUCGGCGGUUGGGGAUGGACUCGCGGCUUAUCAGCUUGUUGGUGGGGUAGUGGCUUACCAAGGCGUUGACGGGUAGCCGGCCUGAGAGGGUGACCGGCCACAUUGGGACUGAGAUACGGCCCAGACUCCUACGGGAGGCAGCAGUGGGGAAUAUUGCACAAUGGGCGGAAGCCUGAUGCAGCAACGCCGCGUGCGGGAUGACGGCCUUCGGGUUGUAAACCGCUUUCGCCUGUGACGAAGCGUGAGUGACGGUAAUGGGUAAAGAAGCACCGGCUAACUACGUG
This 468-nucleotide ribosomal RNA is filed under the name uncultured bacterium. Its description in RNAcentral is "partial 16S ribosomal RNA". It matches the Rfam family "Bacterial small subunit ribosomal RNA", at positions 28 to 507 of the family's 1533-position model. The record is from RNAcentral.